Molecule: microRNA, 23 nt
Filed under: Petromyzon marinus (sea lamprey)
Lineage: Eukaryota; Metazoa; Chordata; Hyperoartia; Petromyzontiformes; Petromyzontidae
Description: pma-miR-4606
Source: miRBase by way of RNAcentral
UGCGUGCGGUGAGGUGGCCGGGG